Molecule: ribosomal RNA, 464 nt
Filed under: uncultured bacterium
Lineage: Bacteria
Description: bacterial SSU rRNA
Rfam family: Bacterial small subunit ribosomal RNA
Source: RNAcentral
AACGAACGCUGGCGGCAUGCCUAACACAUGCAAGUCGAACGGGAUCCUAGCUUCGGUUAGGUGAGAGUGGCGGACGGGUGAGUAACGCGUGGGAACCUGCCCAUUGGUCUGGGAUAACUGCGGGAAACUGCAGCUAAUACCGGAUGUACCCGAGAGGGGAAAGAUUUAUCGCCGAUGGAGGGGCCCGCGUCAGAUUAGGUAGUUGGUGAGGUAACGGCUCACCAAGCCUACGAUCUGUAGCUGGUCUGAGAGGAUGAUCAGCCACACUGGGACUGAGAUACGGCCCAGACUCCUACGGGAGGCAGCAGUGGGGAAUAUUGGACAAUGGGGGCGAACCCUGAUCCAGCAAUGCCGCGUGAGUGAUGAAGGCCUUAGGGUUGUAAAAGGCUCUUUUUACCAGGGACGAUGAUGACGGUACCUGGAGAAUAAGCCCCGGCUAACUUCGUGCCAGCAGCCGCGGUAAU